This 849-nucleotide long non-coding RNA is filed under the name Canis lupus familiaris (dog). RNAcentral describes it as "lncRNA (ENSCAFG00030018359.1)". Lineage: Eukaryota; Metazoa; Chordata; Mammalia; Carnivora; Canidae. The record is from RNAcentral.
AUGAAACUUGAGGACCAACUGGUUAAGUGGCGAAUCCCUGAGACCCUGGUAAGUCAUGCUUUGCAGGAAGCAGGGGUGCCUAGAGAGGGCUGCUCUGCUAACUGGCCUGUGGCUCUCCUGCACUGUCUGCAUUCACCAUCCUCCAUCAGCUGGUGCCGGCCUGUCUGUCCCAGUUCUUCACAGGCCACGUGCCACUCCAAGCUCACCAGACUACUGGGGGUUCCACAGACACAAGAUUCCCUGCUCUGGUCUUGCUCCAAACAUUUGUUGAACUCUGAUUCUAGUGGAAGAAGUGAAGGAGGGAAAGACACAAAGAUGGAUCAGAAGACCCUUGACCUUGGGGCACCUGAGAGGCUCAGUGGUUGAGCAUCUGCCUUCAGCUCCCGGGGUGAUCCCAGGGUCCUGGGAUUGAGUCUCCUAUCAGGGUCCCCACAGGGAGCCUGCUUCUCCCUCUGCCUAUGUAUCUGCCUCUCUCUAUGUCUCUCAUGAAUAAAUAAAUAAAAUCUUAAAAAAAAAUGAGGAAGACCCUUGACCUUUAAAAGUCUAAAGCCUAAAAAAGGAGAAAAGAUACAAAUGUAAAUAAAUGUAACCUUUCCCUUUAAUUUCUCCAGAUAAGUAUUGCAAGUGUUUUAGAGCUUAAGAAACACAAAGUCCAUGCAUUUCACUGACCCAAUUAUGUACAUAAAUGUGCAUUUAUAAAAAACCUUUUCAAAGCCAUCUGUUUGAAAAUACUUGAUUUUGCUUUUGAACUUUACCUCCUGGUCUGUCUGAUAAAGCCCUGCUUGCAACUUAUUUCUAAUGUCCUAACAGUGGUCGCUGCUCACAAUGACAUCGGAUCCAAGCUUCCUA